GACAGAGGGUGCAAACGUUGUUCGGAAUUACUGGGCGUAAAGCGCACGUAGGCGGAUCGAUCAGUCAGGGGUGAAAUCCCAGAGCUCAACUCUGGAACUGCCUUUGAUACUGUCGGUCUAGAGUAUGGAAGAGGUGAGUGGAAUUCCGAGUGUAGAGGUGAAAUUCGUAGAUAUUCGGAGGAACACCAGUGGCGAAGGCGGCUCACUGGUCCAUUACUGACGCUGAGGUGCGAAAGCGUGGGGAGCAAACAGG
RNAcentral lists this ribosomal RNA (253 nucleotides) under uncultured bacterium. RNAcentral's name for it is "partial 16S ribosomal RNA". It matches the Rfam family "Bacterial small subunit ribosomal RNA", at positions 524 to 776 of the family's 1533-position model. The record is from RNAcentral.